GCUAGGUGAUUUCGAAUAUUGCAUGCCUAACAAGAAAACCAACCAUAAGAGGGAGUCAAAGUGCGUACCUGAACGGCUUCUCAAGCGCUAUCAUAAAACAUAAGAAAUUAGUUUGGGAAUCUAUCACACAACAUGUGUCUUAUCCGAUCAAAUCAAGUAUGUAUUUAAACACCUAAGAAUCACAUCAUGCAUGGAUAUGGUCACUAAUCACAUACGUGUCCAUAGAAUUCUCAAAAA
RNAcentral lists this long non-coding RNA (237 nucleotides) under Vitis vinifera (wine grape). RNAcentral's name for it is "long non-coding RNA (VVIN_LNC001413)". The record is from RNAcentral. Lineage: Eukaryota; Viridiplantae; Streptophyta; Magnoliopsida; Vitales; Vitaceae.